GUAAUAACCCCUUCCCCUCAGACCUUAUUUCAGCCAGGCCUUGGCUAUCUCCCUGCGGCUGUGUCAGCAGCACGGAGCCACUCUGGACGCCCUCCCAUUUUGCCUGAGCAGAAACGUUCUGGGCUUUCCUUUCCCCUGGGAGCCUGGCUGGGGGGCUGUGGGGAGUUCCAUUGCUCUGUCUCUUCCUGCUUAGUCUCCUAGAGCUGCUAUAACAAAGCAUCACAAAGCGGGUGGCUUAAGCAACAGAUGCUUACUGUCUCAGGGUUCUGGAGGCCGGAAGUCCGAGAUCAAGGUGCCGGCAGGUUAAGCUGGUUUCUGCAGAACCAUUUCCUGAGCUAAACUGAGGCUUCCUCCAGGUGUGGUGUAUUCUAGAACUGCAUAUGCCUCAGAUGAGCGAACCGAGGCUCUGAGAAGUUAAGAGAAUUCUUCAGGCCGCACAUGUCUCACCCAGAAGCCCUGUGCCGAGGAAGCUGGGCUUUUCUGCCCCCACCCCCCCUUGGCGGGCAGAGGGCGAGUUGCGGGUGGUGGUGCAAACGUGGUCCAGCUCUUCUGCUCCAAACCCGAGCUUUAUCUCCCUGACCGUGCUGCCUCUUGGAGCCUUCUGGAGAGGAUCAUGCUGUGGAAAUGAGCAUCCGUCCAGACUUGGAGCCUGGGCUUCAAGGGCCUGCACGACCCUCCACCCGGCUUCCAGCCACCACCAUUCCUCAUGUCUUCCCCUCACCUGUCUCCAUGCUGCCGAGGGGACCUGCAGGCGAUUGACUUGCUUCUGUGCAUCCAGGCGGACCUUUGCCCACACCCCCAAUUCCCCUCUUCUCCCCACUUUCUUUUCCCCUGGAGUCAUUUAAAUGAAAGUAGAUGGAUCCUGGACAAUACAAGGGGUGAUUUUCUUUUACACACUUCCAUGUUUGGUCUACAAUAUUUGUCGUCGGUAUAGUCUCUUCAUUCGUUCAUUCAGUCGCUCCUUGAUCCAUCCUUUGGCAUUCACUUAUUGAGCUCCUAUUGCAUGCCAAGCAUUGUGCUAGAUCUGAAGGACUCCUGUCCUGAAUAGACAAUUGAGGAACUAGAAAUUUGUAGGGAUGGACCAAGUAUUUCUCCAGAACACACAAAUCCAGAGGACAGUCAAGGAUCAAACUGUUGAUGUGUUGAUAUGCUCAGGCCCCCGAAGAGCUGCAGGCACCCUAGUCCCCGCAAGCAUCCUUCCUCUGGUUCAAGAUGGAGUUGGCAGGGCUUGUAAUCCAUCAUCUUGCAUAUUCUGUGUGGCCUCCUCUCUUCCCGGGCACAGUGAGAUGUCCAAACUCUCCUCCAGAUCAGGUGCUGGCACUAACACGGCUGCCCCAGGAGUGCAAGGACUGCACCUUGCGGGGUGCUUCUCAUCAGCACCUUCAAGGGUCUGCUUCUCUGACCAGCUUUAGCUCUGGGCGCUGAGGCUGAGCCUCCAGAAUGACGCAAUGUCCCCUCAUGCACAGCAGACACCUGUGCAGUCAGGCCUCCUAGCCAGG
Equus caballus (horse) is the source of this 1499-nucleotide long non-coding RNA. The record is from Ensembl. NCBI's taxonomy places the organism in Eukaryota, Metazoa, Chordata, Mammalia, Perissodactyla, Equidae.